Rhinopithecus roxellana (golden snub-nosed monkey) is the source of this 512-nucleotide long non-coding RNA. RefSeq lists it as uncharacterized. Lineage: Eukaryota; Metazoa; Chordata; Mammalia; Primates; Cercopithecidae. The record is from RefSeq and is a predicted model, not a curated record. The transcript has 3 exons.
CCCAGAGACUCACAGUAAAUUUUUUCUUUGGUAAUCAGAAGGCUCUGCAUAAAUAGAGCCGAUUGUUAAACAUUUACCUGCACACACUAGGCUCAUCUUCAUUAUUGGUGAAAUGAGCGAGAUGCUAUUUUCCAUUAGCUCACACUCCAAUUCCAAUCUACCUGACCAGCAGAAGAGACAAAAAGGGAAAAUCCUGGCCAGUUCUCCCCUACCUGAUCAACCAGUAACAUAAUCAGACUUGUAAGACCUCAAGAAAAGAAACCUGAAAAUGCCACUGGAGGUGUGUGUUUUGCCAAAGAAAAACGAAUCAAAAACAAAACCCGCAGGAUGAGGACAAAGAAACAAAGAGCAGGGGUCUCAGCCAUGAACCUUGUGAUGGAUGAGGAAAAGAUAUUCUUUUUCUCCCCUUACACUUUCUGGCAGCCAACAUGGGGUGGCUGAGACACCCCACUAGUUCCAGAACCUGCAGAUAAGAUCCUGGGACAACUAAUAAAAAAACAACAAAAGGUUAA